GUACACACCGCCCGUCACACCAUGGGAGUGGGUUUCACCAGAAGUAGGUAGCCUAACCGCAAGGAGGGCGCUUACCACGGUGGGAUUCAUGACUGGGGUGAAGUCGUAACGAGGUAGCCGUAGGUGAACCUGCAGAAGGAU
Molecule: ribosomal RNA, 141 nt
Filed under: uncultured eukaryote
Lineage: Eukaryota
Description: partial small subunit ribosomal RNA
Rfam family: Bacterial small subunit ribosomal RNA
Source: RNAcentral